RNAcentral lists this ribosomal RNA (256 nucleotides) under uncultured bacterium. RNAcentral's name for it is "partial 16S ribosomal RNA". It matches the Rfam family "Bacterial small subunit ribosomal RNA", at positions 521 to 776 of the family's 1533-position model. The record is from RNAcentral.
UAAGACGAGGGAUCCUAGCGUUGUUCGGAAUCAUUGGGCGUAAAGAGGGCGUAGGUGGCUCUGUAAGUCAGAUGUGAAAGCCCGGGGCUUAACCUCGGAAGUGCAUUUGAUACUGCAGAGCUUGAGUGUGGGAGAGGUUACUGGAAUUCCUGGUGUAGUGGUGAAAUACGUAGAUAUCAGGAGGAACAUCGGAGGCGAAGGCGGGUAACUGGCCUAACACUGACACUCAAGCCCGAAAGCGUGGGGAUCAAACAGG